RNAcentral lists this unclassified non-coding RNA (200 nucleotides) under soil metagenome. RNAcentral's name for it is "partial contains internal transcribed spacer 2 and large subunit ribosomal RNA". The record is from RNAcentral.
GCCACCCCUCCGGGGGAAGCUGGCUUGGUGUUGGGGACCGGCCCCCCGCGGCCGCCCCCGAAAUGCAGUGGCGACCUCGCCGCAGCCUCCCCUGCGUAGUAGCACAACCUCGCACCGGAGCGCGGAGACGGUCACGCCGUGAAACGCCCAACUUCCUUAGAGUUGACCUCGGAUCAGGUAGGAAUACCCGCUGAACUUAA